This 1506-nucleotide ribosomal RNA is filed under the name metagenome. Its description in RNAcentral is "bacterial SSU rRNA". It matches the Rfam family "Bacterial small subunit ribosomal RNA". The record is from RNAcentral.
AGAGUUUGAUCCUGGCUCAGGACGAACGCUGGCGGCGUGCCUAAUACAUGCAAGUAGAACGCUGAAGAGAGGAGCUUGCUCUUCUUGGAUGAGUUGCGAACGGGUGAGUAACGCGUAGGUAACCUGCCUUGUAGCGGGGGAUAACUAUUGGAAACGAUAGCUAAUACCGCAUAACAAUGGAUGACCCAUGUCAUUUAUUUGAAAGGGGCAAAUGCUCCACUACAAGAUGGACCUGCGUUGUAUUAGCUAGUAGGUGAGGUAACGGCUCACCUAGGCGACGAUACAUAGCCGACCUGAGAGGGUGAUCGGCCACACUGGGACUGAGACACGGCCCAGACUCCUGCGGGAGGCAGCAGUAGGGAAUCUUCGGCAAUGGGGGCAACCCUGACCGAGCAACGCCGCGUGAGUGAAGAAGGUUUUCGGAUCGUAAAGCUCUGUUGUAAGUCAAGAACGAGUGUGAGAGUGGAAAGUUCACACUGUGACGGUAGCUUACCAGAAAGGGACGGCUAACUACGUGCCAGCAGCCGCGGUAAUACGUAGGUCCCGAGCGUUGUCCGGAUUUAUUGGGCGUAAAGCGAGCGCAGGCGGUUUGAUAAGUCUGAAGUUAAAGGCUGUGGCUCAACCAUAGUUCGCUUUGGAAACUGUCAAACUUGAGUGCAGAAGGGGAGAGUGGAAUUCCAUGUGUAGCGGUGAAAUGCGUAGAUAUAUGGAGGAACACCGGUGGCGAAAGCGGCUCUCUGGUCUGUAACUGACGCUGAGGCUCGAAAGCGUGGGGAGCGAACAGGAUUAGAUACCCUGGUAGUCCACGCCGUAAACGAUGAGUGCUAGGUGUUGGAUCCUUUCCGGGAUUCAGUGCCGCAGCUAACGCAUUAAGCACUCCGCCUGGGGAGUACGACCGCAAGGUUGAAACUCAAAGGAAUUGACGGGGGCCCGCACAAGCGGUGGAGCAUGUGGUUUAAUUCGAAGCAACGCGAAGAACCUUACCAGGUCUUGACAUCCCGAUGCUAUUUCUAGAGAUAGAAAGUUACUUCGGUACAUCGGUGACAGGUGGUGCAUGGUUGUCGUCAGCUCGUGUCGUGAGAUGUUGGGUUAAGUCCCGCAACGAGCGCAACCCCUAUUGUUAGUUGCCAUCAUUCAGUUGGGCACUCUAGCGAGACUGCCGGUAAUAAACCGGAGGAAGGUGGGGAUGACGUCAAAUCAUCAUGCCCCUUAUGACCUGGGCUACACACGUGCUACAAUGGUUGGUACAACGAGUUGCGAGUCGGUGACGGCAAGCUAAUCUCUUAAAGCCAAUCUCAGUUCGGAUUGUAGGCUGCAACUCGCCUACAUGAAGUCGGAAUCGCUAGUAAUCGCGGAUCAGCACGCCGCGGUGAAUACGUUCCCGGGCCUUGUACACACCGCCCGUCACACCACGAGAGUUUGUAACACCCGAAGUCGGUGAGGUAACCUUUUGGAGCCAGCCGCCUAAGGUGGGAUAGAUGAUUGGGGUGAAGUCGUAACAAGGUA